GACGAACGCUGGCGGCGUGCUUAACACAUGCAAGUCGAACGGUGAAGCGCCUUCCUUUUUGGUGGGUGUGGAUGAGUGGCGAACGGGUGAGUAACACGUGAGUAACCUGCCCCCUUCUUCUGGAUAACCGCAUGAAAGUGUGGCUAAUACGGGAUAUUCUGGGUCUGUCGCAUGAUGGGUCUGGGAAAGAUAUUGUUUCGGUGGGGGAUGGGCUCGCGGCCUAUCAGCUUGUUGGUGGGGUGAUGGCCUACCAAGGCGGUGACGGGUAGCCGGCCUGAGAGGGUGGACGGUCACACUGGGACUGAGACACGGCCCAGACUCCUACGGGAGGCAGCAGUGGGGAAUAUUGCACAAUGGGCGCAAGCCUGAUGCAGCGACGCCGCGUGAGGGAUGGAGGCCUUCGGGUUGUGAACCUCUUUCGCCAGUGAAGCAGACCUGCCUCGUUUGUGGGUGGGUUGACGGUAGCUGGAGAAGAAGCGCCGGCUAACUACGUG
This 494-nucleotide ribosomal RNA is filed under the name uncultured bacterium. RNAcentral's name for it is "partial 16S ribosomal RNA". It matches the Rfam family "Bacterial small subunit ribosomal RNA", at positions 28 to 507 of the family's 1533-position model. The record is from RNAcentral.